GAUGGACGCUGGCGGCGUGCCUAAUACAUGCAAGUCGAGCGAACAGACGAGGAGCUUGCUCCUUCGACGUUAGCGGCGGACGGGUGAGUAACACGUAGGUAACCUACCUAUAAGACUGGGAUAACUUCGGGAAACCGGAGCUAAUACCGGAUAAUAUUUCGAACCGCAUGGUUCGAUAGUGAAAGAUGGCUUUGCUAUCACUUAUAGAUGGACCUGCGCCGUAUUAGCUAGUUGGUAAGGUAACGGCUUACCAAGGCAACGAUACGUAGCCGACCUGAGAGGGUGAUCGGCCACACUGGAACUGAGACACGGUCCAGACUCCUACGGGAGGCGGCAGUAGGGAAUCUUCCGCAAUGGGCGAAAGCCUGACGGAGCAACGCCGCGUGAGUGAUGAAGGUCUUCGGAUCGUAAAACUCUGUUAUUAGGGAAGAACAAACGUGUAAGUAACUGUGCACGUCUUGACGGUACCUAAUCAGAAAGCCACGGCUAACUACGUG
RNAcentral lists this ribosomal RNA (497 nucleotides) under uncultured bacterium. RNAcentral's name for it is "partial 16S ribosomal RNA". It matches the Rfam family "Bacterial small subunit ribosomal RNA", at positions 28 to 507 of the family's 1533-position model. The record is from RNAcentral.